GGCGCUGGUGGUGGCACGCCCUGCACUGCUGGGUCGGGGUUCAAGUCCCCGCGGCGCC
This is a small RNA of Carlito syrichta (Philippine tarsier), 58 nucleotides long. NCBI's taxonomy places the organism in Eukaryota, Metazoa, Chordata, Mammalia, Primates, Tarsiidae. The record is from Ensembl.